GUCGAACGCUGGCGGCGUGCCUAAUACAUGCAAGUCGAACGCAGGGGGGGCGGGUGAGUAACACGUGGGUAACCUCCCAUCAGAAGGGCUAACACUUGGCCACAGGUGCUAAACCGAUACUGAUGGAUGGAACAGCGGUGCUUUAGGGAGUGGGUGAGGUAAAGGCUCAACAAGGCUACGAUGCAUAGCGGGCCUGAGAGGGUGAUCGGCCACACUGUGACUGAGACACGGCCCAGACUCCUACGGGAGGCAGCAGUAGGGAAUAUUCGGCAAUGGGCGAAAGUCUGACCGAGCGACGCCGCGUGUGUGAAGAAGGUUUUCGGGUCGUAAACCUCUGUUGUUAGAGAAGCGGUAUCUAACCAGCAAGCCACGGCUAACUCCGUGCCAGCAGCCGCGGUAAUAC
RNAcentral lists this ribosomal RNA (403 nucleotides) under uncultured bacterium. RNAcentral's name for it is "partial 16S ribosomal RNA". It matches the Rfam family "Bacterial small subunit ribosomal RNA", at positions 28 to 526 of the family's 1533-position model. The record is from RNAcentral.